Molecule: ribosomal RNA, 490 nt
Filed under: uncultured bacterium
Lineage: Bacteria
Description: partial 16S ribosomal RNA
Rfam family: Bacterial small subunit ribosomal RNA
Source: RNAcentral
AUUGAACGCUGGCGGCAGGCCUAACACAUGCAAGUCGAACGGUAACAGGAAGAAGCUUGCUUCUUUGCUGACGAGUGGCGGACGGGUGAGUAAUGUCUGGGAAACUGCCUGAUGGAGGGGGAUAACUACUGGAAACGGUAGCUAAUACCGCAUAAUGUCGCAAGACCAAAGAGGGGGACCUUCGGGCCUCUUGCCAUCGGAUGUGCCCAGAUGGGAUUAGCUAGUAGGUGGGGUAACGGCUCACCUAGGCGACGAUCCCUAGCUGGUCUGAGAGGAUGACCAGCCACACUGGAACUGAGACGCGGUCCAGACUCCUACGGGAGGCAGCAGUGGGGAAUAUUGCACAAUGGGCGCAAGCCUGAUGCAGCUAUGCCGCGUGUAUGAAGAAGGCCUUCGGGUUGUAAAGUACUUUCAGCGGGGAGGAAGGGAGUAAAGUUAAUACCUUUGCUCAUUGACGUUACCCGCAGAAGAAGCACCGGCUAACUCCGUG